AAAAAAAAAAAAAAAAAAAAAAAAACACGUGUAUCUCAUGGUUCCAAACAGCACAAAACAUCAUAAAUAUCACGAUAGAUAAACAAAUAUAUGAUGGAUAGUUAGCAGUCUUUAUAGCUGAAAUACAGAAAAUCACAAUUCUCCUAGAAAGGUAAUAUUGAUAUAGUAUGCUCAAAGAAAAAAAUCAUAUUCACUCUCGCUUAUAUUUUCAAUUCUUACUCCAGGAGGUAAUUACAUGAUAAGUUUCUGCAUUCUGUUGACACGUGGAAAAUCCAUAACAAUCAAUAAAAAGCUCAUUUUUCAAAUAGAAAAGACAUUACAAUUUAAUCAGUAUAUGCACUGUCAGAAUCAAUAAUUUAUAAUCCACUCCUGUUUCCAUAUAUUUUCUCACUUUUCUGAUUUAAUGUGACAGCAACCACCUCCUUCCCCCGGCCAGUUUCUCUCGUUGUUAUCUCAGAAAGCUAAAUACUUUGAAUUGUGCAAUAGCAUGAAUUCAAUAACCACCCCUCCAUCUUGCAGUGUUAUUAUAUUAUGAAAUUCCAUUCUUACGAUAUGCAACUAUAUAUAUUAUGGCAGUGUUUGGGAUGACUUUAUUGCAUUCAUCAAGGUUAUGCAUGCAACAUGCACGUACUUAUGGCUCAAAAUUAGAAAGCAAUUCAAUGAAGGCAACCAGUCUUGUAUCAUUCACCAGAUGAAAUUCAUUUCAGUUAGUAUUUAAAUUAAAAUCCUCAUAUCUAUAUUGCCAAAUCCUCACCUAUAGAGACCAGAUCAAUGCUGGAGAGCAGUACAUAUGGAGAUUAACCUGAGUAUCUAGCACCAACAUUGAUACACAAAUGUUGGAAUAUAUAGAGCUACCAAGACAUUUCUUGUAAUGAUGAUGAUGAUAGGAAUGAGAAGAUGAGUUACAGAGCACAGCCAGAAAGCAUUAUUCUUGGAGAUUAACCUAAGUACCUAGCACCGACGUUGUUAUACUAAUUUGAGAAUCUCUGGAGCUAAUAAGAUGCUGGACAUCAACAAAAGCAUUUUAAUUUGAAUGAAUACUAUUUUUGCAAUGAUUAUAGGAUUACAAAGAUAAGUUACAGAUUUUGAAAGUGACAUUUAAUUGCCAGAUGGAGCAGCAGUUUUUAGCUUUUGAGUUUCGCUUGAAUAUUUUAAUACUUGUUAGAAAAUAGAGAAAUAGGAAAACUGGAGAAUUAUAUUUCUAAGUUGUGUUUAUAAUACAAGGUGUACGCCCUAUUUAUACAAGAGAGCCUAUGCUAUAAAAUGAGAAAGAUACAAUAAUUCCUAUAAUUAAGCAAUAUGUAAUCCCCAUAAUUAAGCAAUCCCAUUAAUUAUGCUACAAUCACACAAAUUAUGCUAACACCUCCCCUCAAACUCAAGAUAGUAUUGUAGAUAUCAUUUUGAGUUUGCAUACUAAG
Molecule: long non-coding RNA, 1418 nt
Filed under: Olea europaea (common olive)
Lineage: Eukaryota; Viridiplantae; Streptophyta; Magnoliopsida; Lamiales; Oleaceae
Description: long non-coding RNA (OEUR_LNC012168)
Source: RNAcentral